Molecule: non-coding RNA, 46 nt
Organism: Mus musculus (house mouse)
Lineage: Eukaryota; Metazoa; Chordata; Mammalia; Rodentia; Muridae
Source: Rfam
UUUAAGGCUUUUCUUAAAGCCACAGAAUACACCAAUACAUUUCUCU